This 2828-nucleotide long non-coding RNA is filed under the name Ananas comosus (pineapple). Its description in RNAcentral is "long non-coding RNA (ACOM_LNC026031)". The record is from RNAcentral. Lineage: Eukaryota; Viridiplantae; Streptophyta; Magnoliopsida; Poales; Bromeliaceae.
UCUUUCUUUCUCCCUCACACUUGCAACCAAAGAGAAAUAUCUCUCUCUCUCUAACAAUUUCUCCACCAAAGAGAGGAAUUGGAGGUGCAUUUGGAGAAGAAAAAGGUUGCUUGGAGGUGAAGUCUUCAUCCUCUUCAUUACUUGGUUUGAGGAAAAGCUUGUGUUUGAGGUGCCUAAACGCGUGUGAAGCGUCGGUUCGUCGAUUCGUCGAGCAGGUGCGACCGAAGAGUAAAGCGGCGACUAGGGAACGUGCAAUUGAGAACCUAGCCUCGUGAUAGCGGUAAAAGGUGGGGGGUGUCAUCCCGAAACAUCCGGGUUUCCUUUUAUGCCUAAGUUAAUUUUAUUCAUCAUAUAUUGAUUGAGCAUUAUAGGAUUAGUAAAGUAUAUUUCCAUUCCUUGCAUGCUUACUUAGUAGUGUAGCGGUAUGGACCUAACACUUGGACUAGGGAGGCAUGAGGAUUGGGUCUUGAGACAAAGAAUCCUAUAGUGGCAAAAGUGAUGAAUUUGGACAUAGCCUAGUAGAGUGGCAUUGAACUAGUGUAGGAGAGACACUAUGACAUGAACAAAUAACAUGUAGAAUAAUUGAGACAUUUACUACAAUGACUAAACGAGUGGCAUUGAGUCUAGUGUAGUAAACUCGACAUGUACUUAGGGAUAGUAGAGAUCCCGGCAUCUAGGAUGCAUUGUACAUUGUGCAGCAGAGGCACGUUGACCCUUGUAGAUAGGGUAUCCUCUUGUGAGGAUUGGAUCAUACUCACUAGUCUGUUUUUGCUUGUCGGUGGUCGCUCCACCGAGGCACGAGUCUCCGGAGUACUUCACUAGGGGCAGACGUAGUUGUCCCGCAGACGGUCUCGGUGUGCGAGUGCAGUUUCUCCUCACCUAUGAGAUUGAGAGUGAGUCGGGGUUGACCCCGGGGUGGCAACCUUCGGGUUGGCCAUGAGAUUGGAUACUACCGAGGCAUAGUUGCACGACGCACUGUGUAGCUCGUUCAUUUGGAUUAUUGAGGCAUAGUAGCAUGUGCAGAUACAUCACUAUGUAGUAGCUCAUUUCCAAGCAGAUUGGGUAAAGAAUAUGAAUGGCAUAGCAGAUUUGCAUUCAUACCUUGAGUUGACAUUGAGACAUAGUAGCAUGUUGUAGAUACAUCACUAUGUAGUAGCUCAUUUCCAUUAUUGUUGAAGCAUAGUAUCAUGAUUAGUAGAAUAUCAUUGCUAUGUUCAUGCAUUACCUCGAGUAGACAUAGUGUAUGUUGUAGAUUGCAUUACUAUGUACUUUUCUAUACUCAUGACAUGAUUCUCGCAUGAUAGUAGUUGUUGCAUGCAUUAUCAUCGUUGAUGGCAUGAUAGAGUAGUCGCAGUUUACUUUUAUCUAUCUAUCUAUCUCUCUAUCUGUGCCAGCUUAGACCUAGUGGGAAAACCGGCGGCGUCGGCGGCCGAACCCACUGGGAACUAUAUUUAUAUAGUUCUCACCCCGUGUGGUUUUGGGGUACAGGUACACAUAGAGGCGAGCCGAGCGAGGACCGCGGCAAGGGCAUAGCGCCCUAAGUGAGCCUAGUUAGUAGCUUUUCCUUAUGCAUUAGAGUACCCUCGUGUACUAGUUGAUAUUUUGGAUAGAUAUCAGAGAGCUACUUGUAUUUUGAAGAAAACAUGUACUUACAUUUUGGAAGAUGAAAAUAUAAUAUAUUCAAAUAAUGUAAAUGUUGAAUGAUUGUGAUAGUUAGACUAUCUCUCUUUAUACACUUGUAUGUCACUUGUGGUUCUUGCUCUUAGAUGUAUUGCACUUGUGUGCAUCGUAUUUGAUCAUGUAUGUUAUUUAAGCAAAUUCCUGGGUGCUUAAUUGUACAUGAUCUGGUUGCUUGGCCUUGGGCGGACAGGAGAGGUACUGUCCGUUCGGCGGUCCGUCCGAUGUGCCCGAACCGUGCCAAAUUGGUAGUGGAUUCGGGGCAGGGCGUGACAUUUUCUCUAAAGCGGGUGCCGAUAGAGAAGCUGGAAUUGACUGUAGGCAAAAGGAUGAAAGCAAAAUAAGUGUUGGGUACAGUAAGAAAAGAAGAUUCUAAAGAAAACAGAGUUAAUUACCGAAGAUGGAGGGAUGUGAGAUACAUGAUCGGAAGUUUCUUCCGAUUCUUCUUUCGAUACAGUGGCGGUAUCAUCCGAGAGACUUUUGCUCGGAAAGGGCACUGUUAUGGGAAGAGAGAUAAAUAAAUAAGCAGGAGUUAUGUAACAGAAAAUUUUCUAUCAGUAAGGAACAUACCAGUUGGGCGAAUAGUUUUGCGAUGUGCCUGUGAGGUAGACAAAUUGAAGGUAGUACUGACAAAACGAUCCUAAUUAACGGUAUAGCGGAAACCUACUACUCCUGUAUAAUUCGGCCUGAAACUUAAUAAUUUGAAAAUUCGCCGAAGACAAUUCCCCAUGGCCGACAUUCGAUCAGCAUCGGCUGUACUUUUGGUGGGGGGACGAUGAACGACAGUAUUGGCUGUAAAGAACUUGGCUGGAGCAGGGGUUGUUUGUGUAAAUCCGAAUUGACGUGCUGCGAACUGGGGGGAGUAAACCUCAGUACUGGGCAGUAGUUUCGAGCGCGAUUUCAAACCAAGGUGCAAAUCCCUUGUAGCCAAAAAAGAGUACCAGACAUCUGAAUGUUCGCCGGCACGGGAAGAAGCUGCUUCGCCUUGAAUAGCUUCAUACCUAGCUAAAAACCAAGAUGGGCCGGUGACACGAUUGGCAAAAGGAGACCAAGAAAUGAGAAAAUGAGGAUCUGAUUCAUAAAAAGCUUUGAAAUAGGUGAUAAAAUCAAGAGGGUGGCCUGAUGUUAACGGCUGAGGACAACCGAGGGCA